AACGAACGCUGGCGGCAUGCCUAACACAUGCAAGUCGAACGAUCCCUUCGGGGAUAGUGGCGCACGGGUGCGUAACGCGUGGGAACCUGCCCUUAGGUUCGGAAUAACUCAGAGAAAUUUGAGCUAAUACCGGAUAAUGUCUUCGGACCAAAGAUUUAUCGCCUUUGGAUGGGCCCGCGUUGGAUUAGCUAGUUGGUGGGGUAAAGGCCUACCAAGGCGACGAUCCAUAGCUGGUCUGAGAGGAUGAUCAGCCACACUGGGACUGAGACACGGCCCAGACUCCUACGGGAGGCAGCAGUGGGGAAUAUUGGACAAUGGGCGAAAGCCUGAUCCAGCAAUGCCGCGUGAGUGAUGAAGGCCUUAGGGUUGUAAAGCUCUUUUACCCGGGAUGAUAAUGACAGUACCGGGAGAAUGAGCCCCGGCUAACUCCGUG
RNAcentral lists this ribosomal RNA (433 nucleotides) under uncultured bacterium. RNAcentral's name for it is "partial 16S ribosomal RNA". It matches the Rfam family "Bacterial small subunit ribosomal RNA", at positions 29 to 507 of the family's 1533-position model. The record is from RNAcentral.